GGAUAUUGUGUAAUGGUAAGACCUCAGCCUUCCAAGCUGAUGACGCGGGUUCGAUUCCCGCUAUCCG
This 67-nucleotide transfer RNA is filed under the name uncultured Amylibacter sp. It matches the Rfam family "tRNA". Rfam says of the family: Transfer RNA (tRNA) molecules are approximately 80 nucleotides in length. Lineage: Bacteria; Pseudomonadati; Pseudomonadota; Alphaproteobacteria; Rhodobacterales; Paracoccaceae. The record is from RNAcentral.